Long non-coding RNA from Megachile rotundata (alfalfa leafcutting bee), 432 nucleotides. Lineage: Eukaryota; Metazoa; Arthropoda; Insecta; Hymenoptera; Megachilidae. The record is from RefSeq and is a predicted model, not a curated record.
UUUAACAAUCCAAUAUAAUUUGAAUUUUUAUAAUUAAUACAAACGCAUAAAAAUUAAUAUAAAAACGAUUUCCCUAGUUAAAUAUCAUCUAGAAAACCUAACAAAACCAUAAAACUUGUUUCCAAUCGCGCGCGGAGAAAAUUGACACUUGUAUCGCAAUCGAUAAGCAAUCAAUCGCACUCGUAACUUCGAUACCAUCACAGAUUAUCAACGAUUCACAGCGUUGGCGGUACACGUGCGAACAUCGAGUAAAUAGAAGAACAUUUCGCGGUGAAACGUUGAUAAUCCGGGGAUUUUCGAAGCACAGAUUGAAGCACAUAAUCGAUACAACAAUGGAUGAGGUCUGAAUACACUUUGGGAAACGGUGCACGACCACGCUACGCAGCCAUCUUGUGUCGAUUUAUCGAAACACUUGUAACGGCCUGCAUUUUU